Petromyzon marinus (sea lamprey) is the source of this 286-nucleotide non-coding RNA. Lineage: Eukaryota; Metazoa; Chordata; Hyperoartia; Petromyzontiformes; Petromyzontidae. The record is from RefSeq and is a predicted model, not a curated record.
GCUGCUGCUCCUCCUCCUCCUGCUGCUCCUCCUCCUCCUGCUGCUCCUGCUGCUGCUGCUCCUCCUCCUCAAGCGAGCCGCGCUCUGCCCGAGGUGCCCGGCGUUCGGUCGUCGGCGCUUCGGCUGUGCUCGCCUCGUCUCAAGAGGCACGAGGGCCACCGGUGACCGCCUUUGCAAUGAAGAGCACCUGAGGUACAGUGCGCCGGUGGAGUCAUCUGGUGGUCGCUUCUGUAAGAGCAGCUGCAGGAGGAAUAGGUCAGGAGAGCGGUGGGUGGGGGUGUUGGUG